This is a long non-coding RNA of Lutra lutra (Eurasian river otter), 2663 nucleotides long. RefSeq lists it as uncharacterized. The record is from RefSeq and is a predicted model, not a curated record. Lineage: Eukaryota; Metazoa; Chordata; Mammalia; Carnivora; Mustelidae. The transcript has 5 exons.
UAAAAAUUAUACUGUGAUUAUAUGCUCAACCCAGAAAUGCCACUUUUUAAAACCCAACAAAAAUAUUUACAAAGCAUACAAAAUAUAUGUAAAAACUACUAAUCGUAGUUAUUUGUAGAAAGCAAAACGUGGGGAACAAUUUACCUGUCCCUAUAUCGGAAGGCGAUUGUAUGGUAUUGUGCCUGGCAGAAUUCUAAGGUGAAGCUGCAGUGACCCUGGCCUUGAGCGUGGGUGAGACUUGGAGUGGGAUGGAUUCUAUUCCCCUGAUUAGGUUGUCAGAUGGCACAGCUGACCUUCCGAAAGAGAGGUUAUCCUGAGGGGCCCUGACCUAAGCAGGUGACUCCUCAAAAGGAUUCAGCUCGUCCUAGAAGAAGUGUGAAGCUUGAGGUAUAUUUGUUACUGGCUUUGAAGAUGGAGGGAAUCACCUGGUAAGGAAUGAAGGAAACCUCUAGGAGCUGAGCGGCCCCAGUCGACCGCCAGCAAGGAAGCGAACUUCAGUCCUGAAGCUGCAAGGAAGUGGAUUCUGCCACAGUUUGAAAGAGGUUGGAAGAGGACCCCAAGUCUCAGAUGGGGGGGGGGGGGGCAGCCCUGGGAGACCCUGAGCAGAGGAGCAGCCACACUGUGCGAGACUCCUGAACACAAAAACCGUGAGUUUUUUAAAAAAUAGGUGUUUACUGAAGUAAGCAAGGAUUUGCGGCUGUUUGGAGCCAGAGUGGCAAAUGGAGCCGACUUGGAGACUUCUGGGGCAGAAAUAUGAGUUACAACCCAGAGGCUACUGCAUGAUGCCGAGACAUCACACAGACCACCUCCACGCUCAGAGAGCCGAGGAGCUCUCAGAGUAGACAUGCUAUUGCCUUCGAGCAUGGAAGACAAGGAUACCUGCCACCUCCCACUUUGGACUACACUGGAAAGCUGGAUGGCCAUCAGAAUUUGCCAUCAGUGGACUAAAUGAACAAGCUGGUUACCUCAGUGGAAAUUCCACAAGGAGAUAAAUCCUUUCCUACAACAUCAAUAUUUCAACGGAAUGCUUCCUGGCAUGGAAGUCUCUAAGUAAGCCCCAGUGGCUAGGCCCAAAUUCAAGGAAAGCCCAAAUCUGCAAACUGGAAAAAUGGAAUGGAGAAUGUAAAUACUAUAAAGAGAUGACAUCUGAAACAAUUUCAAAAUAAGAGGCAAUGACUUCUUCAAGUCUUAACUUGAGUCCUUGAGAGCUGAGCUAUUCAGUGAAUUAUAUAUAAAAGCAAUCCCCAGGAAUACAGCCUCCUCCAUGUACUGCUUAGAGCAGCCCAGUAUUCACAGAUGCAUUCAUGCAGCUCAGCAUACCUGUGAAGUAGGACCGUCAUUCCCAUUUUACUAAUUAGGAACAGGCUGAGGUAAAUUAGGAAAUUUACUCAAGGUGCCUUAGCAAGAGUUAUCGUGAGAAGACCUGAACUCCCAAACCUGUGCUUGACACCACACACCAUUCCCUUCUAGAACUUGCUCCCUGGCUCUCAGGUCUUUGAUCUUUUUAAGAUUUUCUAUCUAACCAAGCCCUAGCCUUCUCCUUUAAAUGCUCCCUCUCAAAACAGAGCUCUUUCAUGUGUCAAAGUUUCAACCACAAAGACAAUCACAAAUUACUUGACUUUAACUCCUCUCUCUCAAUCCAAAGGCCAAAUGCAGUAACACUUAUCUUCCCACAGAAUGUCAGAAGGCUCUUAAAAUAGCAAGACUAGCCACUUUUCCAUUAAAGUUUUCUUAUCACCUGAACCAUGCGGUAAGUAUCAGUGUGUCACCGUAAGAGUGGCUUUAACUAUAAGGAAGCAAAAGCUUGCCUGGAAAAUUCUCUGAAACCCUUUCCUUCCUUCCCAGGUUAGCGGCAACAGAGCAGCAGACCACAUGCAGUGGAAAGCAGCACCAGACCAGGCUGAGCCUGACUAGGCUUACUUACCUGUAAACGACGGCAGGGAUGCGCUUCCAGGACCUGAAGCUUGCAACACUCUCUAGUUCUUUGUCAGUGAUCCAGGCAGGCACUAUGAGCUCCUGUGGAUAGCUACCACAUAGCCUAAUGGGGAAGUGGUGACAAGACCAAUGGAAACUGCCUGCCUACAUGAGAACACAAUACCGUCUAAGUAACGCACGCACCUGGAACAACAGAGAUCUGGAGGGGGAUGGAAAGGAAGGUUCCAGAAUCCUAUGAAAUACCACUUUUCCACUCCAGUAACAGCAAUGGGAACAGAAGGCUCAAGAAGUACUCUGAAGACCAUGCAGUUAGAUAUAAUAAAUAAAAUUCCACUGAAAAAAUAGGUCUAUGUCUAAGUUCAAAUGUUCCGCCACAUGAAAACUGGGGUUUCUGCAAAGGCACUGGCUGUGAAGCACAGUCCGUAGGCACCCAUACAACUCACUUGUACUUCUCAUUGAUGUUGGAAAUCCUCCAGGCAUUGUUCAUAUCAAAACCCAUUCGCUCCACUUCGUUUUUAAACCUUGACGUUACAUGCUCCCCUAGGGGCCAAGGACAGCAGAAAGAAAGAAAUGAAUACCAUUUUGCAAAACAGGUAGAAUAAAAGCAUAGCUACCCUGCUCAGUUAUAUAAAUAACAUGUACUUAGUUUUAGUUUAAAAAGUCCCUGUCAGGGUAAGACUAUACAAAGGAAUGAGGAAAUUAAUUUUUAAUAGAAAUAUAGCUAAUCC